GCGGCAGGGUAGCCUAGUGGUUAGAGUGUAGGGGCGGCAGGGUAGCCUAGUGGUUAGAGUGGAGGGGUGGCAGGGUAGCCUAGUGGUUAGAGUGUAGGGGCGGCAGGUAGCCUAGUGGUUAGAGUGUAGGGGCGGCAGGUAGUCUAGUGGUUAGAGUUUGGAGGCGGCAGGUAGCCCAGUGGUUAGAGUGUAGGGGCGGCAGGGUAGCCUAGUGGUUAGAGUGUAGGGGCAGCAGGUAGCCUAGUGGUUAGAGUGUAGAGGAGGCAGGGUAGCCUAGUGGUUAGAGUGUAGGGGCGGCAGGUAGCCUAGUGGUUAGAGUGUAGGGGCGGCAGGGUAGCCUAGUGGUUAGAGUGUAGGGGCGGCAGGUAGCCUAGUGGUUAGAGUGUAGGGGCGGCAGGGUAGCCUAGUGGUUAGAGUGGAGGGGUGGCAGGGUAGCCUAGUGGUUAGAGUGUAGGGGCGGCAGGUAGCCUAGUGGUUAGAGUGUAGGGGCGGCAGGGUAGCCUAGUGGUUAGAGUGGAGGGGCGGCAGGUAGCCUAGUGGUUAGAGUGUAGGGGCGGCAGGGUAGCCUAGUGGUUAGAGUGUAGGGGCGGCAGGGUAGCCUAGUGGUUAGAGUGUAGAGGGGGCAGGGUAGCCUAGUGGUUAG
This is a long non-coding RNA of Oncorhynchus tshawytscha (Chinook salmon), 643 nucleotides long. NCBI's taxonomy places the organism in Eukaryota, Metazoa, Chordata, Actinopteri, Salmoniformes, Salmonidae. The record is from Ensembl.